GAUGAACGCUGGCGGCGUGCCUAAUACAUGCAAGUCGAGCGAACAGACGAGGCGCUUGCUCCUCUGACGUUAGCGGCGGACGGGUGAGUAACGCGUGGAUAACCUACCUAUAAGACUGGGAUCACUUCGGGACACCGGCGCUAAUCCCGGAUAAUCUCUUGAACCGCAUGGUUCGAUAGUGAAAGACGGUUUUGCUGUCACUUAUCGCUGCAUCCUGGCCGCAUGAGCUAGUUGGUGAGGUAACGGCUUACCAAGGCGACCAUGCGUAGGCGAGCUGAGAGGGUGAUAGGCGACACUAGAACGUAGACACGGACCAGAGGCCUACGGGAGGCAGCAGAAGGGAAUCUUCCGCAAUAGGCGAAAGCAUGACGGAGCAACGCCGCGUGAGUGAUGGAGGUCUUGGGUUCGUAAAACUCUGUUACUAGGGAAGAACAAAUGUGUAAGUAACUAUGCACGGCUUGACGGUAAUUAAUCAGAAAGCCACGGCUAACUACGUG
Molecule: ribosomal RNA, 497 nt
Filed under: uncultured bacterium
Lineage: Bacteria
Description: partial 16S ribosomal RNA
Rfam family: Bacterial small subunit ribosomal RNA
Source: RNAcentral